AAAUCAUCAAUUUCAUUUAAUAUAUGUUCCAAAAGCCAAUAUGAAUAUGUAAUAUUGAUUAUUGUGUGUAGUUCUAUAAAAUGUGAAAACAAAAAUCGAAACACUAAUAUAUGUAGCAGCAUAUAGUGAAUUUGAUAAGCGAUAGAAAAUGAUAUUAAUAUUGUUCUCAAAAGUAAUUAAACCUAGGGAGCCAGGAACUCGAACUUCUCUUCUGCAAGCAGCCAACAGACUCAGAACAUUUAAAACAUCAAGAAUUAUUAAUUUGAUGAAACAAGCAAAAGGACCAGGAAAUAUUUAUAUGUCUAAUAUUUUCUGGAAUGUUACAAAUCAAGAAAAUACUUCAUUAUUCAUUGCUAAAUUUGUACUAAUACAUCUAUAAAAUUCUGUGUUCUAGAAAAACAAGAAAAAGGAAAAAAAAAAACAGAAAAGCUUAGUGAUUUGGUAUUCAGAAAUAGCCGAUACUAUCAAACUAUGAAUAUAAUAAAUUGAAGGGUAUAUAUAUGAAUUCUUAGAUAAAGAAUAUAAAGAAACUGUAGAGGAAAGAAGAUAAACUGUGAGAAAAUGUUCGCAGUAACCAUAAUUAUUCUAUUUUUUCUAUAAAAAAUUGAUUUUAUUUGGUGAUUUUAAUGAACAUCCGGAUGAAGUCG
Molecule: long non-coding RNA, 647 nt
Filed under: Brassica rapa (field mustard)
Lineage: Eukaryota; Viridiplantae; Streptophyta; Magnoliopsida; Brassicales; Brassicaceae
Description: long non-coding RNA (BRAP_LNC007801)
Source: RNAcentral